UUACGGCCAAAUCACGUUAAAACAUAUUUUCCCGUACGAUCACCGUUUAAGCAACGUUGAGCUUGGUCAGUACCUAGAUGGGUGACCGCUUGGGAAUACCUGGUGCUGUAAG
Acanthosepion pharaonis is the source of this 112-nucleotide non-coding RNA. The record is from the annotation of a GenBank genome assembly. Lineage: Eukaryota; Metazoa; Mollusca; Cephalopoda; Sepiida; Sepiidae.